CCUACGGGAGGCAGCAGUGGGGAAUAUUGCACAAUGGGGGAAACCCUGAUGCAGCAACGCCGCGUGAGUGAAGAAGUAUUUCGGUAUGUAAAGCUCUAUCAGCAGGGAAGAAGAAAGACGGUACCUGACUAAGAAGCCCCGGCUAACUACGUGCCAGCAGCCGCGGUAAUAGGUAGGGGGCAAGCGUUAUCCGGAUUUACUGGGUGUAAAGGGAGCGUAGACGGCUGAGCAAGUCUGAAGUGAAAGCCCGUGGCUCAACCGCGGAACUGCUUUGGAAACUGUAUAGCUGGAGUACUGGAGAGGCAGGCGGAAUUCCUAGUGUAGCGGUGAAAUGCGUAGAUAUUAGGAGGAACACCAGUGGCGAAGGCGGCCUGCUGGACAGAAACUGACGUUGAGGCUCGAAAGCGUGGGGAGAAAACAGGAUUAGAUACCCCUGUAGUC
Molecule: ribosomal RNA, 441 nt
Filed under: uncultured bacterium
Lineage: Bacteria
Description: partial 16S ribosomal RNA
Rfam family: Bacterial small subunit ribosomal RNA
Source: RNAcentral